UUAUAUAUAUUAUUAUUUUUAUUUUUUGUUUAUUAUUUAUUUAAUAGAAAUAAUUUUAUUGGUUAUGUGUCUUAGUAUAUUUUAUAGAAUGGAUUCUAAUUAUUAUAGUUUAUUAGUAAUGUAAUUGGUUUAUGAAAUAAUUUAUUUAAAUAAAUUAAAGUAAAUUUAAUUUAUUGUACCUUUUGUAUCAGGGUUUAUUAAAAUUUUAGUAUAAAUAAUACUAUUCUCAAUUUAGGUUGAUUUAUAAAUAUAUUUACUUUAAUGUAUCAUAAUUAUUAGAAAUAUAUUUAUAGAAAUGAAAUGUUAAUCGUUUCCUAAUAUAUUUAGUUUCCUAAGAAAAAAUUUAAUUUUUUAGAGUUUCUGUUUAAUUUAAUUUUUUAAUUUACAAUAUUUACUUAUUAACUCUUUAGGGGAUAAGCUCUGGAGAAUAAUUAUCCUAUAAUUUAUUAAUUUAAAAUAUAAUUAUAAGCUUUAAACCAGCUAUUUUUUGAUUACGUUUUAGUUCAUUAUUUUUUAUUAUAAUUUUACAAUAAUUUUAGGUUUUAUAUUAGGAUAAUAAAUUGAAUAUUAUAAUUUUUGUAAUAAUGAUGAAAUUAGUAUAAUAUUAUUGUUUUAAAUAUUUAAUCCUAAUAAUUUAUUGUAAGGAAUUAGGCAAAAUAAAUUUCCGCCUGUUUAUCAAAAACAUGUCCUCUUGAACUAAUAUUUUGAGGUCUGGCCUGCUCACUGAAAAUUUUAAAGAGCCGCGGUAUUUUGACCGUGCAAAGGUAGCAUAAUCAUUAGUCUUUUAAUUAAGGGCUGGAAUGAAUGGCUUGACGAGAAAUUAACUGUCUCUUAAUAAUUUAUAUAAUUUAACUUUUAAGUCAAAAGGCUUAAAUUUUUCUUUAGGACGAGAAGACCCUAUAGAGCUUGACAUUUUAUUUAUAUAUAGUUUUUAGUUGGUCUUUCUAUAUAUGAUGAUAAUGUUUUGUUGGGGUGACAUGAAGAAUAAAUAAACUCUUCAUUAUAAAAUCAUUUAUUUAUGUUUAUUUUGAUCCAUAAUUUAUGAUCAUAAGAUUAAGUUACCUUAGGGAUAACAGCGUAAUUGUUUUUGAGAGCUCAUAUUAACAAAGCAGAUUGCGACCUCGAUGUUGGAUUAAGAAAAGUUUUGGGUGCAGUAGCUCAUUAACUAGGUCUGUUCGACCUUUAAAUUCUUACAUGAUCUGAGUUCAGACCGGCGUGAGCCAGGUCGGUUUCUAUCCUAAGUUUUAAGGAAUUCAUAUUAGUACGAAAGGACCAUAUGGGUAAAAUAUUUUUUAUUUAAUUGAUUAAAAUUAAUUU
This 1317-nucleotide ribosomal RNA is filed under the name Ceracris nigricornis nigricornis. Its description in RNAcentral is "16S ribosomal RNA". The stretch from base 880 to 1242 matches the Rfam family "Archaeal large subunit ribosomal RNA", at positions 2150 to 2716 of the family's 2987-position model. The record is from RNAcentral. Lineage: Eukaryota; Metazoa; Arthropoda; Insecta; Orthoptera; Acrididae.